GAGUUAGCUUAGUUGGUAGAGCAUAAGACUCUUAAUCUCAGGGUCAUGGGUUUGAGCCCCAUGUUAGGUA
Podarcis lilfordi (Lilford's wall lizard) is the source of this 70-nucleotide non-coding RNA. The record is from the annotation of a GenBank genome assembly. NCBI's taxonomy places the organism in Eukaryota, Metazoa, Chordata, Lepidosauria, Squamata, Lacertidae.